UAGAGGAUAGUAUAAUGGGUAGUACAUAAAGUUUUGAGCUUUAGUGUGUAGGUUCGUGUCCUGUUCUUCUA
RNAcentral lists this transfer RNA (71 nucleotides) under Pseudothecadactylus lindneri. RNAcentral describes it as "tRNA-Gln". It matches the Rfam family "tRNA". From Rfam's summary of the family: Transfer RNA (tRNA) molecules are approximately 80 nucleotides in length. Their secondary structure includes four short double-helical elements and three loops (D, anti-codon, and T loops). The record is from RNAcentral. Lineage: Eukaryota; Metazoa; Chordata; Lepidosauria; Squamata; Diplodactylidae.